Molecule: ribosomal RNA, 477 nt
Filed under: Candidatus Anammoxiglobus propionicus
Lineage: Bacteria; Pseudomonadati; Planctomycetota; Candidatus Brocadiia; Candidatus Brocadiales; Candidatus Brocadiaceae
Description: bacterial SSU rRNA
Rfam family: Bacterial small subunit ribosomal RNA
Source: RNAcentral
UUCGCAAUGCCCGAAAGGGUGACGAAGCGACGCCGCGUGUGGGAAGAAGGCCUUCGGGUUGUAAACCACUGUCGGGAGUUAAGAAAUGCAAGGGUGUUAAUAGCGCCCUUGCUUGACUAAGGCUCCGGAGGAAGCCACGGCUAACUCUGUGCCAGCAGCCGCGGUAAUACAGAGGCGGCAAGCGUUGUUCGGAAUUAUUGGGCGUAAAGAGCACGUAGGCGGUUCUGCAAGUCGGCUGUGAAAGCCUUCCGCUCAACGGAAGAACAGCAGUUGAUACUACAGGACUAGAGUGCGGGAGGGGAGAGUGGAACUUCUGGUGGAGCGGUGAAAUGCGUAGAUAUCAGAAGGAACACCGGCGGCGAAAGCGACUCUCUGGCCCGUAACUGACGCUGAGUGUGCGAAAGCUAGGGGAGCAAACGGGAUUAGAUACCCCGGUAGUCCUAGCCGUAAACGAUGGGCACUAAGUAGAGGGGUUUU